Molecule: ribosomal RNA, 254 nt
Filed under: uncultured bacterium
Lineage: Bacteria
Description: partial 16S ribosomal RNA
Rfam family: Bacterial small subunit ribosomal RNA
Source: RNAcentral
CGUAGGGUGCGAGCGUUGUCCGGAAUUAUUGGGCGUAAAGAGCUCGUAGGCGGUGUGUCACGUCGGCCGUGAAAACCUGGGGCUCAACUCUGGGCGUGCGGUCGAUACGGGCAUCACUUGAGUUCGGCAGGGGAGACUGGAAUUCCUGGUGUAGCGGUGAAAUGCGCAGAUAUCAGGAGGAACACCGGUGGCGAAGGCGGGUCUCUGGGCCGAUACUGACGCUGAGGAGCGAAAGCAUGGGAGCGAACAGGAUU